Molecule: ribosomal RNA, 230 nt
Filed under: Clostridioides difficile
Lineage: Bacteria; Bacillati; Bacillota; Clostridia; Peptostreptococcales; Peptostreptococcaceae
Description: partial 23S ribosomal RNA
Rfam family: Bacterial large subunit ribosomal RNA
Source: RNAcentral
CCCAAACCAAUAAAGUUUUCUUUAUUGGGGUUGCGGACAUAUCAUAACGAAGAGGUAUCGUAAUUGAAGAGGUUUGGAAAGACCCACCACAGAAGGUAAUAGUCCUGUAUGUUAAACGAGAAGACUUUAGAUAUGAUCCAGAGUACCACGGGACACGUGAAACCCUGUGGGAAGCAGGAGGGACCACCCUCCAAGGCUAAAUACUACCUAGUGACCGAUAGCGUAUAGUA